UGUACCAUUUCGAAAAAAAUGGAGUAGGUACAAAAAAAAAUAUGGAGAUGCGGACGUUUCAAAAAUAAAUGCCGAGGUCGCGUUCAUGUUAUUGGUGAUAUCAAUAAUGAAAAAAUUUCAAAAAAAAUUGAUCAUAAUAACCAUGUCCCUGAUAUCACUCAAAUAGAAGUUAAAACUGCAAUAAAUGAGAUGAAAAUAAAUGCAAUAUGCAAAUCUAAUUCCACGCAUUCAGUCAUUGGAACACUUGCUUCUCAGAUAUAAAGGUAUCUGCUUCAGUUGCUGGACAAUUACCAAAUGUGCAAACUCUAAAAAGAACCGUUCAGAGAGUUCGUCAAUCUCAUUUAGGAGCUCCAAUUAAUCCUCAAAAUUUUAAUUUUGAAA
This is a long non-coding RNA of Acyrthosiphon pisum (pea aphid), 381 nucleotides long. RefSeq lists it as uncharacterized. The transcript is spliced from 2 exons. Lineage: Eukaryota; Metazoa; Arthropoda; Insecta; Hemiptera; Aphididae. The record is from RefSeq and is a predicted model, not a curated record.